Molecule: long non-coding RNA, 616 nt
Organism: Ixodes scapularis (black-legged tick)
Lineage: Eukaryota; Metazoa; Arthropoda; Arachnida; Ixodida; Ixodidae
Exons: 3
Source: RefSeq, a predicted model, not a curated record
AAGCUACAACACCUUCAUGGAAUCUGAGUGCCAACUACAGGCUAGCGAAGCCAUGAGAAAAAAAGCUGGUAAAUUGGUUCGUGGGACUCGGAGGGAAGACUGUAGGGGCCACUACUCGUCGACUGCUGGAAGCUCUAAUGACCCAAAACGUUGUGGUGAAUUUCAGCUGGAAAGGGCAAAAGGGCAAGGCGAAAUUCCAACAACUGCAGUGUGUUGAGCUCAUUUACCAGGCUGUAAAAAGAAACCCCCGUAUCACAACGACACGUCACGACAUUGAAGAGGUAAUCAAGACGUGGCUACGACACGCGGCGGAGAAGCUCAGGAAGCUUGAGGAAUCUGGUCUUGGCAACAUCCCCUAACUUUUUAUUAGCAUCUAUAUCCAUGUAUAGUGUGCAUCUUCUUUAAUUCAUGCUUAUUUUUUUCUUUUCAAGCCCAUCUUCAGGUAAUACUUGUUUGACCCGCAGCCACAAUUACACCACAGAACAAGUUUUGUUAGUUUGUCAUUAUCAUUUCCAGUUAUUUUAGUGUUCAAAUUCUAGUAUCUUUAUCUAAUAUUUUUUUCUCAUUAUUUAUAAUGAAUGCCUCUUGUCUGCAGCUAAAUGAGAACUUGUUAGAC